This 801-nucleotide ribosomal RNA is filed under the name uncultured bacterium. RNAcentral's name for it is "bacterial SSU rRNA". It matches the Rfam family "Bacterial small subunit ribosomal RNA", at positions 70 to 873 of the family's 1533-position model. The record is from RNAcentral.
CUUUGGGGCUUGCUCCAAGUUAGUGGCGAACGGGUGAGUAACAUAUCGGAACAUGUCCGGAAGUGGGGGAUAACGUAGCGAAAGUUACGCUAAUACCGCAUAUGCCCCGAGGGGGAAAGGGGGGGAUCGCAAGACCUCUCGCUUUCGGAGUGGCCGAUAUCAGAUUAGCUAGUUGGUGGGGUAAAGGCUCACCAAGGCGACGAUCUGUAGCUGGUCUGAGAGGACGACCAGCCACACUGGAACUGAGACACGGUCCAGACUCCUACGGGAGGCAGCAGUGGGGAAUUUUGGACAAUGGGCGCAAGCCUGAUCCAGCCAUACCGCGUGAGUGAAGAAGGCCUUCGGGUUGUAAAGCUCUUUCAGCCGGGAAGAAAUCACAUGGGUUAAUACCCUGUGUGGAUGACGGUACCGGAAUAAGAAGCACCGGCUAACUACGUGCCAGCAGCCGCGGUAAUACGUAGGGUGCGAGCGUUAAUCGGAAUUACUGGGCGUAAAGCGUGCGCAGGCGGUUUGUUAAGAUAGGCGUGAAAUCCCCGGGCUCAACCUGGGAACUGCGUUUAUGACUGGCAGGCUAGAGUAUGGCAGAGGGGGGUGGAAUUCCACGUGUAGCAGUGAAAUGCGUAGAGAUGUGGAGGAACACCGAUGGCGAAGGCAGCCCCCUGGGCCAAUACUGACGCUCAUGCACGAAAGCGUGGGGAGCAAACAGGAUUAGAUACCCUGGUAGUCCACGCGGUAAACGAUGGAUGCUAGGUGUCGGGGAGCGAUCUUCGGCGCCGCAGCUAACGCAUUAAGCAUCCCGCC